GUAGUCAUAUGCUUGUCUCAAAGAUUAAGCCAUGCAUGUCUAAGUAUAAGCAAUUAUACAGCGAAACUGCGAACGGCUCAUUAUAUAAGUUAUCGUUUAUUUGAUAGUGCCUGUCCUACUGGGAUAACCGUGGUAAUUCUAGAGCUAAUACCUGCUGAAAGUCCCGACUUCGGAAGGGAUGUAUUUAUUAGAUUCAAAGCCAAUGCCCUUCGGGGCUUCUUGGUGAUUCAUGAUAACUUCACGGAUCGCACGGCCCUGCGCCGGCGAUGGUUCAUUCAAAUUUCUUCCCUAUCAACUUUCGAUGUUUGGGUCUUGGCCAAACAUGGUUGCAACGGGUAACGGAGGGUUAGGGCUCGACCCCGGAGAAGGAGCCUGAGAAACGGCUACUACAUCCAAGGAAGGCAGCAGGCGCGCAAAUUACCCAAUCCCGAUUCGGGGAGGUAGUGACAAUAAAUACUGAUACAGGGCUCUUUAGGGUCCUGUAAUUGGAAUGAGUACAAUUUACAUCCCUUAACGAGGAACAAUUGGGGGGCAAGUCUGGUGCCAGCAGCC
This 552-nucleotide ribosomal RNA is filed under the name uncultured eukaryote. RNAcentral describes it as "SSU rRNA". It matches the Rfam family "Eukaryotic small subunit ribosomal RNA", at positions 20 to 575 of the family's 1831-position model. The record is from RNAcentral.